Molecule: long non-coding RNA, 18305 nt
Filed under: Ananas comosus (pineapple)
Lineage: Eukaryota; Viridiplantae; Streptophyta; Magnoliopsida; Poales; Bromeliaceae
Description: long non-coding RNA (ACOM_LNC022677)
Source: RNAcentral
GGAAGUGUCUUCAACGGACUCAGACCGAUUCUUUAUCAGGUCAGUAAGGAAUGAUAUGCAACAUUGCCUCCAGUAACAUACUAGAGUGCAACAACCAAGUCAAUAGGUCUUCUCUCCCUGUUACCGGCCCUUUCACUCAUAGAGUUCGGAGUCAAGCAGAAUCUUUCUGUUAGUGGUCAAUCAAGUUGAGUUGAUGAAUAGGGUCAAUUAUUAUAUAUGGACUUAAUUUCUCAUUAAUUUUCCACGCGUCAAAUGAAAAGAUCCUAGAUCCUAGUUGCUGUUCUUUUUUUCUUUUUCUUUUUUUUGAGAGGGAGAGAGAUAGGUAGCACGCUACCCGCUUCGUUUAUUUCAUUUAGAAAUAAACUUAGCUGGAAAUGUCAAUCAACUAGGAUUCGAACUUGGGAUUUCGGAUACCAACCACCAAGCUCUUUGACACUUGCUCUAGAGACGGUUGGUUCCUAGCUAGUUGCUGUUCUAUUAUUUGUGCCUAGGUAGUCUUACAAUGUUUAAGUUUAUUAUAUGAGUUUAUUUUAUUCAUAUAUAUGUAGGUAGUUGCAGCACUUCAGUACCUUAAUGUUGCCCAAAAAAAAAUUGUAUUCAUUACAUUGAUCGUUGACCAUUUUACUACAUAAAUAAUGAUGCAAUGUAAAACAUUCGAAAGUUAACUCUGUUUGUUCCUAUUUGCCUUUCCUUUUUUCGUAGCUUAUAAAACUUUUCUUUUGCGAGGUAGGAAAUUCAUGUGGGACAUACACUAGAGAGCACAAAAAAAUUUGCUCGAGUUUAUGAAACUCGAACUUAGAUAGAGGAGUCAUGAUUUCUUAAGCCAAAUACCAAGUCUUGCACGUAAAAACCAAUGACCAAGUCACCAAUGACCGAGUCUUUCUCUCAAAAAGGAAAAAAAAAAAAUCACCCGUAUGGUCAUUCCUUUGUUACAAGACGAAACAUCAUCGGUCGAUACAAUGCUAUUUGCAGCAAAUUUAUCCUUGUCAUGUAGGGUUUAUCUUAUUAUCUAGUACAAAAUAUAGUAUAUUUAUUUAUAUAAUCCAUGUAGGCUUAUCUAAUCCCAUGAACGGCUAUAUAAAAGGUUUGUGGUGCUCAAGCGCCACGUCAAAAAUGCCCAGUUAUCCCGAGCACUGUUGAAGCACCUUAUAUGACAAGAGAAUCAAGAUACACAAGAGGCACGCCAAAAGUGGUGGGCUAUAUACAGUUCAAUGUCACCAUCAGGUUAGGUCAUCUUUAGGGCUCUUCAGGAUCGGACAAGUAGGAACACCAAAGUGGAAUCUCAAAUCCCUUCUCCUUUGUAUGCUCCGUUCGUGGGAAUGCUGAGUGUAAAAAGGUUUGUCAUGAUCAAAGGCUAUCAGAAACUUUAAUAAGCUUUUGCUUUCAUACAUGUAAUUUCUCUUUUUCUUUACAAAGGCAUGGUAACUAACAUUAAGGAUGGCAAAAGUGGACAAGAACAAUCGCAUAUUGUUUAGUCGCAACAUGAUUGCAUUAUACCGACCGUCUCUAGAACAAGUGACAAAAGAUUUGGUUGGUGGUACGCGAGACCUAAUUUCGAAUCCUAAUUAAUUCAUAUUUCUAGCUAAAUUUAUUUUUAAUCAUCAUAUAAUUUUUUACUCCCUACGGAACUAAUUAUUUUAGUGAAAGUACAGAAAGAUGAAGUAAGCUUUUGGAUUCGAAUGUUCACUUUUAUUGUAGAAUUCACUAUAAAAUAAGUUCAACCUUAACUUAGACUUUUCCAAAUCAUUAUAAUUAACUUCGUCCUGGAGGGUGGCAAAGCUAACUACAGAAAAUAAAAUAAAAUAAUUAUUUGUAUUUUUUUUUUUUUUUUGUCCCUGCUGUAUGUUUGGAUGGAAAUUUUUGAUAAUAAUGCACACAAAAAGUGAAAAAGCUGCAAUUCGAAAAUCAUUUAUUUUUUAUCAAAUAAAUAGCGAUAAAAAAUAAUUUUUACGAAGACUUUAGUUUUAUAGGUAAAAGACAUUUCUUUUUUUUUGUUGAGAAAUAGGUAAAAGACAUUUCUAGUCUAAAAAUUAAUUAAAGAUAAACAAUAAAACAAACGAGCCCUAUGUGGCGUAGUUCACACUACAACUAGCUAGGGCAUCUUUUUGACAAUGUGAAAAACAAGCACUAUAUCCUUUUAUCAGAAAAAAAAAAAGAAAAAAAAAAAGAAAAGAAAAAUUAGUACUACCACCAGCGUUACCAAAGCAUGAAAACUGUGGAAUUCAAGUGAAAUGCACCCAACAAUUCGAAGAUGACUUUAAUUUGAUCAGACAAAUUUUGGGAAACCCGCAAUUUUUGUGGUCUGUAGCGAAUUAUUCAUCUAUUUGUCUUCUCAUGAGUUAAUGCUAUAAAUUUUCACCAUUGUUCCUAAAGCAUGUGACAAAGAACUUAGUGAUUGAUAUCGGAGGUCCAAAGUUCAAAUCCUAGUUGAUUUAUAUUUUCAGUUAAAUUUAUUUUUAAAUAAAAUAAACGAAGAGCAUAGCGUGCUUGAAGUUUUCUUCUAUAAAAAAUUCCAAAAAAAAAUAAAGUCGACCAUAUGUUGUGAAAAUAAGAAAAGUUCUAAGAAAGAAUAAAGUCGUACAUAUCUAUGAUUUAAUACAACAAUAUUUAAAGCUGGAUAAUAUUAAGACCUCGUUUGGAUGUCGAAAUAAGUUUGUCCAAUAAUAAUUUAUUCGGUGUGAAGUUUUUUUUGUAUAUAUCUGUGGAAAGUAGAUGUUAAUUUUUUUGCUUUUUAAAAGGUCUUAACAUUCAUUAUAGAAUUGUAUUAUACUGUGUAAUUUAUUAUAUUUCAAAAAUAUGAUUUUAAAGUCGAAUAUGAUUUUUUUCAUUUUAAGUGUCGACACACUCCUCAUUUUUAAUUAUAAUAAAAAAAUUAUACUAAACAAAUAUCACUGAAUAAUAUAAAUUUCCAAACAAAGCUUAAAGAUAUCCCUAUCGCACCUAGCCCUUAUUCCAGAAUCAUAUCAAUCAAUUCCUAUUUAUUUAUUCAUUUUAAUUUGCUAUCCAUCAAUCAUCAAUCGAAUUCUUCAGAAGCACUAUCGGAAGCUUCAAAAGUGGUAUCUCUCAACAAGGUGGGAGAAGACCAACAAAUUAAUGUGCUCAGCCCAAUUCGAGAUUAAGACGUUAUUCACGUAUAGCAUAUAUAUCUUUUUAAAGCAAUGCUAUAGGUACAGAGUAGAGUGUAUAUUUAUACACCUACUUAAUUCUAAAGUUAUUCUUUAUUAUAUCAAUUUUUUAAAAUUUUACUAAAAAUUAAUACGAUUUUUAUGAAUUCUAAAAUUGCGGGUGUAAAAUGCACACUCCUUUUUGGGGUGUACAAGAAGCAUUUUUCUUUUUAAAUAUACACGCAUGUAUUAGUCCACUCACUAAGUUUGGUUAAACUAUUAACCCGUGUCUGAAAAUAGUGAACAAUAGCCUGGCUAUUAUCCUUUUUCAAAGUUUGGAGGAAGCGGGGAGAAAUUCUAUCAAAGGGAGGCUGUACAUAAAAACUAACAAAUGUGCAAAUCAAUUGUUUGUUUUGAUCUCCAAUCGAUCAGAAUCGACAAGGUUAGGCUGCUAAAGAAUGGCUUAAUUAAUUAAUUAACUUGCAUCUGCAGAUAUUCGGGUCAGAUAUUUUAAUUUUAAGUAGUCAACGAAGCAACCGUGCAGUUACUAGCAGUAGACUAGUUAAGCAGGGGGCUAUAAAAUGUAAAUUCAAGUGAAUGAUAAUGAAUCUAAAUUAUCUACCAAAGAUUGAAAAUUUUACUAAAGAUUGAUAAUGGAUUGUCACUCAGCAACCACAUUCAAGUCUGGCAGCUAAAAGAGUGAUAGAACAACAGCUAGCCUCAGACAGGAUUAAGUCCGCAUCAAUAUAAUGCAAGCAUUGCUAUGCUAGAGGAUCACUUCUUAGUUUCAUGGACACAAGAGGUUGGAUGGUAUGACCCUCAACCUACUAUGUAUGGUACACAUAAUUAAAUGCUCACUUUAAAAAAGAGAGAGAGUGUGUGUGUGAGAGAGAGAGAGAGAGAGAGAGAGAGAGAGAUGUGUGGCACUUCACCCACUCGAGAAGUGACUCCUACGAUCAGUUGAGAAAAAGCACUCCUGGGUCCUGGCACUACUCUAUCUCCCGUUUGACUCAGGUCCAUGAUCUCUCCACCACCACCACCACCACCACGUCCUCUCCCUCCGCUACAUCACCAUCCCCACUCCACCUCCACCUCCACCUCCACCUCCACUAUGGAUUGCAAUAUGCCUCUGGGCCACCACCACCACCACCACCACCACCAACACCACUUCUCAAUCCUUAAUUUGAUAGCUCAAGAAAAACCCAUCAUUCCAUUCCCACCCAACCCAACCCAACCCAACCCUGAGAUAAACACGUCCGUACGUGGUGAGACCACCACGCACCCAAAGCACCGCAAAAUAAAAAACGAAGAAGAAAAACAAAAAAAAUUGAAGUGAGACUCAAGCAAUAGUAGAAGAUCAGCGAGAGAGUAUAGAAAAAGGUGCUCUCUAGUCUCACGCAAAAGUGAAUAUUGGUGGGCUACAUUUUCCUGAUAGCUACUUCGUGCUUCCCGGUUCCCGCUCGAGCGUUACAUUUUGUUUUUUUGUUUUUUGUUUUUUUUUUUUUUCUGGUCAUUCGAUUAUUCUUAUUUGUUUUUAUAUAAUAAUAUCUUCACUCUCGUGGAACCCAGCGCGAGGGGUAACGCACGAGAAGGGGUCGAUUCUCGUCGAACUUUCCACCUAAUUUUUACAGUUAUCUUUAUCUUAUCUCAUUUGUGUGGCGCAACCAAAAUAGUAAUAAGGUAAAAAAAAAGAAAAAAAAAAUCAAAUAACCCUUCAAUAAAUUAAUUAAGCUAAAGUAUUCUAGCAAAUUUAAUACUUUUAUUAUUAAUUACUAGUUAUCAUUUGUUGGCAAUAAAUUAAAUUAAAUUAAAUUAAAUUAAAUUAUUUAUUUAUUAGGGAGUAAUUAUUAUAACUAUUAAAUUUGAUAAAAUUACUUUUAAAUGUAAUAAAAUUUUGGAUAUAAAAUUUGAUAAAAUUACUCAUGUCAAAAAAAAUCAAAUGGGCAGAAGAAAUAUCAAGAAAAAAAAAUAAAAAGAUGCGUAUAAUUGAGGGCAUCUCCGUACAUUCUAAACAAAAGAAAAGAAAAGAAAAGAAAAGAAAAGGGAAGGAAAAAAACAAUGGAGGAGAGAGGAAUUUUAAAACAUAUUUUGUUUCUUUCAGUUUUUGGUCCCACUCGUGGAAAAUAAGAAAAAACCACCCACUCGGGUUUGAACGGCCAACCGUAUUUACUCCUCAAUACCACCUAUCCCUCCAUCUGACAUCUCUGGUCACAGUAACAGGUAACAACACCAUGUCUCAUUCAACGCUCCCAUAAGUGGGAAAAGAGAGAGAGAGAGAGAGAGAGAUAGAUAGAUAUUUCCUCUCUCCUUUCCUGCAGCUUUAACAUUGCUUUUGCUGUUGCUGUGUCAAACAUCAAACCCAACACAAACCCCUCCCUCAUGCGCGUGAGGCUGUUUCGGUGGAGGAGAUGGUAUCCUUCUGAGAGGUUUGGGUGUGGGUCUGGGGCGUUCUUCUACUAACUAAGAGGGGUGUCAUUAAUGGGUAAUUGUUGGUUUAGGGGGAACUCUUCCAUCCACAGAGUAUCUUCCAAUGCAAAAUCUGGUAAUUUUAAUGCUCUUCCGAGUUCGAAUCGGUGUUUAAUUGCUUUUGAUAUUGGUUUCUGUUUUCUUCUCUCUCUCUCUGCACUUGGAUUACCGAAAUUCUUAUGUUAUUAUUAUUGGAUUAUUACAUAUUUUGCUUUAGGAAUCCUCUUCAUGUUCUUUUUGAUGCAUGUUUGUUGGGUAAUCAGUUUGGGGGAAAAAAAAGAUACAGAAUUUCGGAACUCUUUUCUUUUUUUCUUUUUUUUUUUUUUUACUGAAGAUCAAAACCAUGCUUUUUGGUUAAGAUUCCAUUAUAGUAAGGGAAUUAUUAAAAUACAUUAAAAGGAACAGUUACUUUUCUUUAAUGUAUUCCAUCUUUGUCUCACAAGGCAACAAGAAAGAAACCUUUUUUUUUUUUUCACCUCAUUACUUUCAAAUUAAAAAUUGUUUAGUGUUGGCCUGUGAGAUUAGUAGUUUGUCCCAAGAUUCUCAAGCUAUGCUGAUUAAUCAAAUAUUUGCAAGGAUAUUUCAAACUCAGAAUCUCUUUCCACAUUAGUUGUUGAUCAUAACAACAUAUGCCCAGAGAAGUUCUAUGCACUUUACAUAUUUAUUGCGGUUAUAUUACUCUGAAAUGAAACUUGCUGGCAAUAGAAUCUCCGAAAGUCCGGAGCCCUUCAGCGAAGGAGGGGUUAAAAGAAGGCAGCAGACUGCCCUCGAACCCAAAAGAAGUCGAGGACUUGCGACGAGAUUCGGCCACGAAUCCUCUGAUUGCAUUCACAUUUGAAGAACUCAAGACAAUUACAGGGAAUUUUAGGCAGGAUUAUGUCUUGGGUGGAGGGGGAUUUGGAAGUGUUUAUAAAGGAUAUAUCACUGAAGAUCUUAGGGAGGGAUUUCAACCUCUGCAAGUUGCUGUGAAGGUUCAUGAUGGUGAUAAUAGUUUUCAGGGUCACAGGGAGUGGCUGGUAUAUAACUUUCCUUUGCUAAAUUACAUUCUCUCUCUCUCUCUCUGUCUCUCUCUCUCUCUCUCUCUAUAUAUAUAUAUAUAUAUAUAUGCUUUAUUUAUCUGCUUAUUUUAGUUAGUAGCAGGCAGCUAUUUAUUAGUUAUGAGAUAUUUUUGAUAUCUGUAGGCUGAGGUUAUAUUCCUUGGGCAACUUUCGCAUCCGAAUUUGGUGAAACUGGUCGGAUACUGUUGCGAAGAUGAGCACCGAGUUUUAAUAUAUGAGUUCAUGCCUCGGGGUAGCGUGGAAUCAAAACUGUUUUCAAGUAAUUUCUCUUGUCUGCACUUGCUAGUUGUUGCUUUAAGUAGAUUAAUUUCUUUUGGAAUGGUUUAAAGUGCAUAUGCUGUGAAACUACAAUGAUCAUUCUACUCGAAUUGUGUGAUUCUUUUUGUUGUUGUUAGUAAAAAUUUCUUAUGUUACCAUACUAGCUAGCUGUUUCACUAAUUUUUUCAAAUUGAUGUAAUUAGUUAACAUUUUCGAAUUGUUGUGCCUUACGAUUACAUUGUUUUCUUAAUAUGUAACUAGGAUGCUUAAAUGCUAGCAUUCCACACACACUAAAAAAAGAUGCUUUAAUGCUGCCAUCGAAAUUCAUUUUGUGGUCAAUGUAGGAACUAACCUUUUAUCCGUGAUUCUCUAAAUGAUAUUCAUCUUCUAUUGCCUUACUUUUUGUUCCCUUGUAGGGGUGUUGCUUCCGCUUCCAUGGUCCACAAGAAUGAAGAUUGCAUUUGGCGCUGCAAAAGGGCUUGCUUUCCUCCAUGAAGCUGAAAAGCCAGUAAUAUACCGAGAUUUUAAAACAUCAAAUAUUUUGCUAGACGAGGUUAGUACGCUGUAGCUACCUUUAAAUGUUUUGAUGUCUUCGACUAAGUCCCAUAACUAUGGAUAACAACUUUUUUUCGUGGCUCUUCUUUUGUUCAAUACCAUGCAUUGUGUCUAUAUGUUGUUUGCUGCUUAUUUGGUCAUUUAGACCUUAGAAGUAUCUAUUUGUUGACUAGCUCAUAUUGGUGUUGUCGUGGAGGUAAACCUCUAAAGAAACCAGUGUCUCAUCUUUUUCCCACAAAAAGUACUUGGAAUGUAUAUGUAAAUGCAUAGCAUAAGGUCAAAAGUUGCUUCAUCUUGCGUUCCAUUCAAGGAUUUAAGUGCCGUGGCACGGGAUCGUGCCGGAAACUUGCCGGCACGGUACGGCACGGUGCGUGCCGAGCCGUGCCGAUGCGUGCCGGUAAAAAAAAUUCUUAUGUGCCGACACAUAAUAGCAUGAAAUAUUUAUUUUCUUUAGCAACAAAAUAUUCUAGCUAUUUAUUAUGUCUUUUUAUCGCAUCUUUUGAACUUUAUUGAGGAAAUUACUUACUACUUUAAAGAAUAGAGGGUUUUGAGCUGUGCUAUCGGCACGGGGUUUGUAUCGUGCCGGUAUUUUGUUGGCACGGUGGAUACGGCCCGUGCUGACGGGCACUUAAAACCUUGGUUCCAUUCAUGUAUGGAAGAAACUAAAAGGAAAUUUCUGGCAACCUUUCAGAAGCUCUGUUAGUGCAUCAAAGAAAUGGUUAUCCCCAUUAAAUGGGUGAAGUCAUUUAUUAAAUCAUAAAUACUUUGUACCUUCUAUUCCAUCGAUUUGUAAAUAAUUCUUAUGGUAUUCUUUUGCUUUCACAGUUUCACCAUUGUAAGCAACACUCUUUAAUUUCGUCCCCACAAAAACUAUCGUGGUUUUAAUGGUUUCGUUGUAGAUGCAAUGAUUGUGCUGUAGCUAUAAUUGCAUUUCUCUUUAAGCACUUAUUGCAACAUUUUGAACUUAUCUUUGUUUAGAUCAUUUCGCACUUCGUAUCCUGCAGUACUCUUGUUGCAAUUUCUCUUAUUCUUUGGUAACAUUUAUAGGAUUACAAUGCAAAACUCUCUGAUUUUGGGCUUGCAAAAGAUGGGCCAGUAGGUGAUAAAUCUCAUGUUUCUACGCGCAUUAUGGGAACUUAUGGGUACGCAGCCCCAGAAUACAUCAUGACAGGUAGUGUAUAUGCUUGUGUAUUCUCUAGUUUAGAAUUUCUGUGUCUUUUGAGUUUUUGGGUUAUGGAAUGGCCUAAAGAGGUACAGUUCUGUACAGGUUUAGUUCAGUUAGAUAUUGCUGAUAGAUGUAAUUUGUGUUAUUUAAAAUUUGAAGUUCCAUUAGAGGUUGCUGUUAAAAAAAUAUUUUUGAAGUGGUCUGUUGAGACAAAAAAUAACAUGUGACUUGUGUAGCAGUGAACUUUUGACACACACACACACAUACACACAAAGGAAGGUCUUGAGCUUGGCAUAUGCUUCAUUUGUUACGUUGAUUAUAGUUCUUGUACCAUUCAAAAAGCAAGCAAACUGUGAGGAUUCUAUUUUUAAUUCCUGAUGCUACUUGGACAAGCAAAUUGGUAAAUGAAGUAUCAACAUAAAAAUUUUAGAAACAAGAUUUCUUAAUUUAUCAAAGCUAAAUCCGUGAGUAGCUGUACGAAAAUAAAAUAAAUUCUGGUGAGGAACAUGCUAGAUUGCGAGUAUAUCCCUCUCUUUGAAACAAUAACAUAGCAACUAUGAUGACUUGACAGAAAUUUGCUGCUUGUAAUAAGACAUUAUCGCCAUUUAGAUUACUAGAAUGCUAAGACACGGAUGGACGUUAUAUCUGAUCUGAUAACUUUUUUCACUUCCUCCAUGUAGGGCAUCUGACUGCGAUGAGUGAUGUUUAUAGUUACGGAGUCGUCCUCCUUGAACUACUCACGGGCAGAAAAUCGUUGGACAAGUCCCGGCCGGUUCGCGAGCAGACACUCGCAGACUGGGCCUUCCCAUUGCUGACCCAAAAAAAGAAAGUGUUGAGCAUCGUGGAUGCUAGGCUUGAAGGCGACUAUCCUGUUAAAGCCGUCCACAAGACGGCCAUGCUGGCUUACCACUGCCUUAGCCGUAACCCAAAAGCACGGCCUCUUAUGCGAGACAUCGUAGAUUCUUUAGAACCUCUUCAGCAACCUGCAGAGACUUCUGUAGAGGCAUCUACAGCUGAUGUCAACUAAGUUCCUAUCUCAAAUGGCUCAUGUUUUAGGAAAAUCGUUAAAACUUGUUGAUCUUGCAGACCAAAAAACAUGGGUUUUGGUUUGGAUGCUUAGAUGCAUCCAUUGGUUGAAAUAGAUGCUUUUCUAUUUGGUUUGAUGUACAUGAUUUCAUUCACACUUCUGUAUAAUACCUCAGGGUAUUUAUUCUGCUGACGUUGGGGUUGACGUUGGGGUUGACGUUGGUAACAUAUAAUCUUUCUGGUAGAAUAUUCUCCGUAUAUUUUCUCUCCAUAAAGCAAACAAAGUAAGCACAAAAUAUGCAGUUUCUAAUGAUAAAUAUCUUGUUAUUGAAUGGCUUCUCACUUUUGUUGGAUCAUUGCGUGAGUAGUGCUGACUUUGGCUAUGUUACAUUGUUAUUAUAUACUUUAAGCAGUGUGAAGAUUGUUUUUGGUCUUUUUGCCAGUGGUGUUAAGAAUGUACUAAACCAAAUUUUGUAUUUCGAAAGCAACAAGAAAAGAGAAAAGAAAAAGAGAAGGAAAAUCUAUCUACCUGAAACAAGUUGUAAGUUCCCCAAAAAAAUCUGCUAUAAAUUCAAACUUAUAAUAGUUAUAUUUAGGUAAACUUCAGUUUGCCUCCUUGUAGUUAAGCUCUUUUUUAUUUUACCAUCAGCCAACUCUUUUCCCUCCCACAUUCACGUUCCUCUCUCUCUCUCUGUUACUCAUCUCUCUCUUUCUCUCUCCUCCACCCUCCUCCCCUCUCUCCCUCUCUUAGCGGCUACAUCAGCUAAGCUCCGAAAUUGAAAGAAGCAAUGCGCAAGAGGAAGAGAAGAAUCGGAAAAAUGAAAGAACAUGAGACUGCGGAAGAGGUUCCAACUGAAAUUGGUAGGCCGCGAUGUAUUUUGCCUUGAAUUUCUUUGAAUUUGUAUGGUUCUUUCUUUUUCAUAUCUUUUCUUUACAUUUGUAUGUUUUCUAAGCGAAAAUGAUUCGAUUCUAUUUUUUCUUUCAUUAAAAAAAUUUAUUAGAGGUUGCAUUGAAUUUGGAGAAUCCGAAAACUAACAAAAGAAAACAGAAAAAGAGAAAGGAAACGGAAAAAGAGAAACGAGAGCCGGGAUGGUACACAAGGGCAACACAUGAUUCUGAAUUCACCUCAAGAAGGAGCAGCCAAUAUUAGUCGAAGCCUGUAAAACAUAUUCUUUACAGUAACACAUUUAGUUAAUCACACUAUAUAAUGAAUUGAUUGAAUCUUUAAUUGGGUAUUAUUACUCCAGCGUACCUAAGUGUCCUGUUCAAUUCCUAUUUGUGUUAUGCGACUAAGGUUGAAACCAAAACAUGAAGUCAAUAUAAUUACAUGAUAUUUAAAACAAAAGAAUUUAUCUUCGGUCAAAUCAAUUCCUAUAAAAUGGAAUAGCUUACCACAAUAAUUGUUGCAGCACAAUAAGUCAGCAACUAAUUCGUAGACAAAUGACAUAUAUAUAUCAAAUCAGAAUAUCUGUUCCUUAUUUUCGCAACUAAAGUAACGAGCCUUCAGUUCCGAGACUCGGGGCGAAUCGGACGGCUAGGUUUUCUUUUCUCGCGUAUAUCACGAGGUGAUGAGAACCCGGGCCACAAAACAACAAUGGGCCAGGCUGGGCCGGAGCAUCUGUUGUGUUGCGUAGCCUGUUCCAACGAGAGCACUGUUACUCCGACGGCCCAACGAGUUCCAUCCAAAAACAAUCGCCUCCUGCCCCUUUAUUAUGGUAGCUCCAAUCCCUAAUCCCUGCAGCCCCAGUCACCCUCCCACCAUGAAAAACCCCAAGGCAUCAUCAUCAGGGAAGGGCUCUUCCCAGAAGGCUCCCUCUUCCUUAGGCUCCGGCGCCGGCGGCGGCCCCUCCGCCGCCUCCGGCAACCGCAAAUCUCGGUGGGAGCCCAACGAUAAGCCGCCCUCCGACCGCCGCCCUUCAGGCUCCGAUUCCAAGCCCCUGAAGCCCAAGGACGAGCCCUCGGGCCCCUCAUCCGCCGCCGCCGCCGCCGCCGCCGCCGCAACACCCAAUCCCAAGGAGAAGCCGGCGGCGCCGACACCCGUCUCCGGCAACCUCCGGUCUCCCCACUCGGCGGGGCCCCCCUUCCACCUCCCCGACCCCGCCGCCGUCCCGCCGCCCCCGCCUCCGUACGGCUUCCACAACCUCGAGCGCCGCACCAUCGUGCUCGCCGACGGCAGCGUCCGCUCCUACUUCGCCCUCCCACCGGAUCCGCCGCCGGCCGCCGCCGCCGCCGCCGCCGCCGAUAAAAUGUUCCCCUACCGCCCCCCAAUUGCCCGCCCCGGCUUCGGCCACGGCCCGGAGCCAGGCGUGGGGUUAGGGUUCGACCGGCACUAUCCCCCGCCCCCUGGAGGGCGAUUCAGCCCCGAGGACCACCUGCGCGACCCGCGCUUCGGCCGUGGAUCCGGGCCGCAGAACGACUACUGGGCGUCUCUGGGGCUCGACGGCCCUCGGGGCCCUUCCGAGAGCGGGCCAUCCUCGCUGAAGAGGAAGUACGGGGAGGACGACGAGCUGGCGUGGAGCAGGAGGCACGUGCUGCUGUACGGGGGCGCCGGUGGAAACCCUCCCGGGCUCCCUCCCGGGGUGGGCGGGGAGCGAGAUGAUCUCAGGUCGUCGAAGCAUGCAAAGUUGGGCGCCGGAGGCUACGAGGGGUUGCCCUCGCGGAGCGCUCGGGUUGAUGAUGCGCCUGCAGUUCCCUUGGAUGUGGAUAAGCAGGCUUUGAAGAGGGCAUUCCUCAAGUUCUCGAAGACUAUCAAUGAAAGCUUCUCACAGAAGAAGAAUUAUUUGGAGAACGGCAAGAAUGAGCCUUUGAAGUGCAUUGCUUGUGGCAGGUUUGCUUACGUUUGGAAGUUUUCAUUUUAUUUAACUACCGCUAUCGCAAUGCAUGCUUGUUCCUUUUCUUUUUCUUAUCGAGAUUUUGUUGUGACUUGUUUACAUAACUCGGUCGUCUAUAUAACUCUCUUGAUAAACUGAUGCAGGAGUCCUGCUAUUCUAUUUGCGCCAGAGGUUUGCAGUUGUUCUCAUUCCGUGCUACGUAGAUUAGUUUCCUUGUUUCGUUGGUGCAUUUAAUCAUUAAGUUCAGCUACUAUAAGUCGUUCUGCAUAUUGAUGGCAUUUGAUAGUCCUUUUUCAUUAGAUUUGGUUAGUAUAUUCUUUUUUUCUUCCCAUCUUUGCUCUUUGCUUUUUUGUUCUGCUGUCCUCGAUUUUUUUUUUUUCUUCUUUGGCUGUUUGUUGUAUUUUUCCUUACAGCGCAAAUUCGCGCCGAUGGUACUAAUUUUCUCCGAUUUCUUUUAUUCUUGUGGGAUGAUUAUGUAAUCCUGUGGCCUUUUAAUGCGCAAAACCUUCACCUAUCUAAUAUCUUUUGUCUUUUCUGGUAAUAUUAAUUGUAUGCAAUAGUAAUUAUUUCCUGAUGAAGCAAAUGCUGCUUUACUUUUACUGCAUCUACUAUCUUUUGUCUCAUCUUUUGAUAAAACCUAUGACUCCUUCCUGUUGCGGAGGGAGUAAGGAGUUGAUAGUUCUUAUGGUUCCUUAGGUUUCUUUUGGUAUGCCAAGUGCAAUGGGGUUCCAAUGGGGUUCAUUGUUAAAGAUGACAUAUAUGAGAUUGCUUGGUAACAAAGAAGUUAUUGAGUUGGUUGGUGCAUGAUUUCUUGGUGUUUGGUUUAUAUGUAUGAUAGGUAAAUUAUUUCCUGUAGGUUAUUUUUAUUGCAGGAAGCAUGAUGUUGUUUGCAGUCCUCCUUAUAAUAAUUUGCCCUAAUCAUUGCAGGUCUAUCUUUAGAUAAAAUUCUUCCAUUUCUUGAAUCCAAUUGCCAUUAUUCCAUCCAAAUAAGUGUAACCAGAACAAGGUACUGUCAUUUUUGGAUGUUUAAACCAAGGAGCUAGCAGAAUUAAGAUGUUGGUAUGUAUGACAGCACCAUUGCAACAUAAAUAUUUCCCAUUUGUUAUGGGCACUUGCUUUGGUCCUUCACGGCCACUUUCCAUGGGCAUGGGCGGCACAACCUGAAUGUCUACAACAUAUACCAUGCUCGCAGACGCAUGGCUCCUCAAUACAUGCUUGUUUGUCUGUUGCUUUAUGUACAGUUACAAUCACUCCUUGAGUCAUUUGAGAUGAUUUUAGUCAUGGAGUGUAUUUAGUGCCUUUUGCUGAGGUGCAUUUUACAAAAUAUGGUUUCUUUCUCUUGGUUGCAGGACAUGAACAUUUCAGGUUAUAGUAGUUUAAUGAUAUUAUGGGUUUUAAAAGGGUUUCCCUUAACCCAGAAGGGUUGCACCAUAUGCUGAUCUCCUUAUUACAUACUUCUGCCCAUUUACUCUCUGCAAAUAGUCUUUGUGAAAAUUUUUGAUGAGAUGUGAUUUGGUUUGAUCGUGUCCCAUAAAUCUGGUAUUUUAUCAUUGCUAGAAGUCUUAUAAGUCUUGUUUGUUUCAGCAUUUGGAAACAUCCAGAUGUAUCUUGUAGUUAGAGCUAUAAAUACCUAUAUGAAUCAGAGAACUUGAUGCCUGUCUUCACUUUAAACAACUUUUGAAGUAAUAUGCUUGUAAGUAUUUUAUGACUUGUGAGAUGUGGUCGUUAAGAGAACUUCAUAUGUUUUGAAUUUUCAUUCUUGGGGUGCUGCAAAAUUGGCAUUUGGCAUGGUCCAAUAACGAUCCUUUUGACCAGUUAAGUGAAGCUUGCUGAGCUGUCAGGUAGGUUGCUAAAACUAAGUCAAUUGGUAGCUAACCAAAAGCAACUCCGUGGAAAGAGAAACACUUUGUAAAUCCAUUGUUAUUGCAACUGGAAAUUUGCAUAAAAUUUCUAGAUAGCCGGUAAUAGAUGAUUGUUCAUGGAUUUGGACAGGCUAUUGUUCUUUGAUGUUCAAGCGAUGUAAAAACAUCAGCCUUGCUGUAACUUUGCCUGUGUCACAUCUAAAUCAAGCAGCAUGGUUGUUAUCUAGAAAUCUAGAUGCUAGGUAUUAUUUUGUUAUCUACAAGUCUACUUCUAGAUUUGAAUCUUGAUGUCACCUUGCAGGUGCAGUGAAGCAUCCAAAUGUUUGUUAAUUAUUUACAUGCUGUUUUUGUAGUAGGUAAUAAUUAACUAACUGUCGUAAGGUGUUGGCUCCAGUUCCACAUGCCGAAGUUGGAGCUAUAUUGUAGUCGUAGAUCUAACAUUUGGAGUUACAUGAGUUUCAAUGGGGGGCUUUUUGGUUGAGUAGGAGGGGCGGUACCAACAUUGGAUGGGGCACUAGUUGACAUUGACGGCAGCCUCGGCACCUUUGGGGCAAUGGUCUCCUUAAUGGUCUUGGCAUAGCCUCCAAAAGCUCUAUCUUUUCCUCCGCGACUCCUCCCUUUCUUCCUUUAUGUGUGCACUUUGGGGAAUGUAGAGGGGCAUCGAUGAUGGCGGAAAGGCACCAGCCAGUUCCCUCUCUCUCUCUCUCUCUCUCUCUCUCUCUCCCUGUAUACAAACACACCCACAAACAUUUCUCUCUCCUUGUUGCUUUGGCAGAGGCUACAGUAGAGGAUAGCAGCUUCUCAUCUUAUUCAUAAGUCUCUCUCUCUUCUAUCCUUCUUCACUUUACCUUUGUUCUCUCAUUUCUCUUUUCAUUUCAUAUCUUCCCAAUGUUGUAGUUAAUUGUCACCAGGUAGCUGCUUCAACAGAAGCUGUAAAGCUAAUUAUGCCUACUUUUCUAUUGAUUGGUAUGUUAGACAAAUCCUCAAUAGGGGUGUUUCUACUAAAUAUAUUCAUUUUUCCUUUUGGAGUUUGCUAACUUUCUGUUGAGUGGUUAUUUGAUGUGAAUACCUUGUUCUCUCAUUUCUCUUUUCAUUUCAUAUCUUCCCAAUGUUGUAGUUAAUUGUCACCAGAUAGCUGCUUCUAUGGAAGCUGUAAAGCUAAUUAUGCCUGCUUUUCUAUUGAUUGGUAUGUUAGACAAACCCUCAAUAAGGGGGUUUCUACUUAAUAUAUUCUUUUUGCCUUUUGGAGUUUGCUAACUUUCUGUUGAGUGGUUUUUUGAUGUGAAUGUGGUAACAAUGACUUGUAAUUUUGAUUUGCUUUGAAAGCAAAUGGUGCUGACCAUCAAUAGUCAGCAAGUGGCUUUAUUGGCAAGUUUCUGAUUGUUCUGUGCUAUGCAUCUUUGACGAAAAUCUCAUUCUCAGCUAUUAAUUCUGCAUUGCAUUUCCAGUUUAUAUCUGUUGAGAGAGUGGACUUGCAUUCUUAUCUCCCCUCUUUAACGAAAUAGGUAUUUGCUCAGUUAAUACUUUGCUAUAUGACAGUACAAGCAGCUAAGUUCAGACUGAACUCCUUGGUUCAGCUAUAUGGAUCCUUUCCCUCCAUUUAAUUUCGUUUAGAGCAUGGUCUACUGUCAAAGUUGCGUGUUUCCCUAUUAUAAUUACCGACAUUUACUAGGUUUCCUAUAUUUAGCAAGUUUCAAUGUAUUGGUGUCAAACAAAUCAUAUGAAAGUGUUCCGUAUGUAAAAGUGAGCAAAUAUUUCUUUUUCUUUGUAGUGGUAGUUUGCAUGAUCUAGGCCCUUGCUUGUCUCUGUGCCCUUUUUGCCAUAAUAAUUAUUCACAUGGACACUUAUUCCUUAGCAGGAUGUCUUUGGUUUAGGAAGAAUUAAAUUCUUUCAUGCAAAUUCGAGCUGGCAGUUAUUCAACUUGCCAUACUUUGAGUUGUUGCUAAUCUUGAUAUGCAUAUAACAUGAUUUUUUUACUUUGUUUGUGUUCAAAGUUGUUCAAUGACUUGCAUUUUAUUUGCCUUUUCUCAUAUGCUUAUUUUUCAUUCCGGAGAAAGAAUAUAUCCCAGAUUCAAAGGCUAUCUUUUCCUUUGAUUUAACUACUGUGUAUGGAGCAAGGAUUGCUUGUGCCACCCUGUGCCAUACCAUGCCGAGGGCGUGCCAUAAUGUGGCACAGGGUCAUGCCAACACCGUAUUUGAAAUCUUUUUGAGUUUUUUUGAGGCAAAAUGUUUUAUAAAUGUUUUUUCAUACUUAAAAUAUGUAGAUCUUGUAAACCUACUUGCACUUGGAGCAAUUAGUAAGCUCCAUCGCAUAAUAAGACCAUUUUUAAGUUAAAAAAGAAAACAAAAUGAAUAGAUUUCCCCUUAUUUCCUUUAUCCUUUAGAUCUAUAAAUAAUGAUUUUGGUUUUGGUUUCAUGAUAUACUUUCUUAAUAUCGAUAAAAUAAUUCUAUUAGUUAUGAUGUUUAUGACUCUAUUUUUGUUAUAUACUGUGAGAUAUAAUAUAUAAACGAAUUCAGCUCCUAUGCUUUUAAAAGUACAAAGUCAUUGGUACUUGUAGGUUUCGGCCUUUGGAUUAAGAGAUGUGCAGUUAGGAUUAUAGUGGUCCCCUACGGUUGAGUGGGUGGUUGGUUGAAUAAUAUGAUCUAACAGGUAGAAAUGGUUAAAUCGGUAGAUCUAACGGCAGAAAACUUACAAGCACCAAGCGCUUUGUGCUUUUAAUAGCACCAUAGCCGGACUCUAUAUAAACUAUUUUUAUAAUCACUAGAUAUAUUAAAAUACUAUAAAAACUAAUUUUCCAUAAUAAUUUAAUAAAUAGAUUUCGCGCCAAUGCGUGCGAAAGUGUAAGUUGUGUGCCACUUGCACAAGGGGCAUGCGAACAUUGGCAUGCCCCUUGCCACUUGCCAUGCCUGCUAUGCCGUGUCGUGCUGUUGGCAUAGCGUCAUGGGUUAUGCUAGUGUCACAGCAAUUCUUGGUAUGAAGAAAUUUUGGGAGCCUGCUUGUAGAUUGCCAAUGGCACGGGCUGUGCUAGCGGCACGGCAAUCCCUGGUAUGGAGAAAUGUUGGGGGUUGCUUGUAGAUUACAUUGGCCUAAAAUAUACCCUGUCAGUUUGGUUACUGUACUCAUUAACCGGACUUAUCAACUUAAAGGCAAGCUUCUUCCCUAUUUUAAGUCUGCUAGGAUUUGGGUACAAAAUUUAGAGAGUUAAGGUCAGGGUAAUAGCUUGUGAAUUUUUCACUCUUCCCGGCUUUCUUUGCUAGCAUUGUACUUGCAACAUGUGAACUGGUGGAGUGUUUCUAUGAAAUCUUUCUAUCUUGUAGAACCCUUGAUUUGCAGCAAAGCUGCUUUUAGGAAUAUCAUUCUUAUGUGACAGAUGUUUGAUAUCCUUCAUUAGCUGAAAUGGGAGGUUGGCAAUUUUUUUUGGGUGAAAGCACCAGAUUUUAAUUUCUGUGAAUUGCCGUGUAUAUAUUUACAGUUUCCAGUACUUCAUAUCACAUUGUGUUAGGUCUUCAAUUGUAUGGCAACAUGAGUCAUUUAUUUCUGCCCUGACGCUUUAAAAAUGGACUAGAGAAGUGGAGGACCAUGACCUCUUUGUUCCUGUCAGUUUAGGGAAAUUACACAAUUGUUAGGCUAAUGUCUAUUUCUUGUUUAUAUGUUAUCCAUUGUUAUCCUUAUAUUGGUCGAUUAAAGAAUGUAGGCCAUUUCUCUUUGCCUCAAGUCUUUUAUCUUCUAUUGCAUUAAACUAGGAAUAUUUUUCUCUUUGUUAGUAGUUUAUGCAAAGUGUGUAGCUGCAUAACAGUGUCCUGUUUUACUGCUCCUUUUGUAGCAUGAUCUGAUCUUGUUCUAUUAUGUGUUUUCUAUGCAUGAUACAGGGCUUCUAAAGACUUUGCAGAUGUGCAUGCACUUAUCAUGCAUGCAUAUCACUCACAAAAUGCAGACAUGCGUGUUGAUCAUCUUGGAUUGCACAAGGCAUUGUGUGUU